AUUGAACGCUGGCGGCGUGCCUAACACAUGCAAGUCGAGCGGUAACAGGUGUAGCAAUACAUGCUGACGAGCGGCGAACGGGUGAGUAAUGCUUCGGAAUCUACCCAAUGGUGGGAAUAACCAGCCGAAAGGUUGGCUAAUACCGCAUACGUCCCACGGGAGAAAGCAGGGGAUCGCAAGACCUUGCGCCAAUGGAUGAGCCGAAGUCGGAUUAGCUAGUUGGAGGGUAACGGCCUACCAAGGCGACGAUCCGUAGCUGGUCUGAGAGGACGACCAGCCACACUGGGACUGAGACACGGCCCAGACUCCUACGGGAGGCAGCAGUGGGGAAUAUUGGACAAUGGGGGAAACCCGUGAUCCAGCGACGCCGCGUGUGUGAAGAAGG
RNAcentral lists this ribosomal RNA (385 nucleotides) under uncultured bacterium. RNAcentral's name for it is "bacterial SSU rRNA". It matches the Rfam family "Bacterial small subunit ribosomal RNA", at positions 29 to 414 of the family's 1533-position model. The record is from RNAcentral.